Molecule: unclassified non-coding RNA, 306 nt
Filed under: plant metagenome
Description: partial contains 5.8S ribosomal RNA, internal transcribed spacer 2, and large subunit ribosomal RNA
Rfam family: 5.8S ribosomal RNA (bases 1-105)
Source: RNAcentral
GAAAUGCGAUAAGUAAUGUGAAUUGCAGAAUUCAGUGAAUCAUCGAAUCUUUGAACGCACAUUGCGCCCGCCAGUAUUCUGGCGGGCAUGCCUGUCCGAGCGUCAUUUCAACCAUCAAGCCCCCGGGCUUGUGUAGGGGACCUGCGGCUGCCCGCAGGCCCUGAAAACCAGUGGCGGGCUCGCUGUCACACCGAGCGUAGUAGCAAUCACCUCGCUCAGGGCGUGCUGCGGGUUCCGGCCGUUAAACAGCCUUACAAAACCCAAGGUUGACCUCGGAUCAGGUAGGAAGACCCGCUGAACUUAAGC